Molecule: ribosomal RNA, 253 nt
Filed under: uncultured bacterium
Lineage: Bacteria
Description: partial 16S ribosomal RNA
Rfam family: Bacterial small subunit ribosomal RNA
Source: RNAcentral
UACGUAGGGUGCGAGCGUUGUCCGGAAUUAUUGGGCGUAAAGGGCUCGUAGGCGGUCUGUCGCGUCGGGAGUGAAAACUCAGGGCUUAACCCUGAGCCUGCUUCCGAUACGGGCAGACUAGAGGUAUGCAGGGGAGAACGGAAUUCCUGGUGUAGCGGUGAAAUGCGCAGAUAUCAGGAGGAACACCGGUGGCGAAGGCGGAUCUCUGGGCCAUUACUGACGCUGAGGAGCGAAAGCGUGGGGAGCGAACAGG